This is a long non-coding RNA of Symphalangus syndactylus (siamang), 1525 nucleotides long. RefSeq lists it as uncharacterized. The record is from RefSeq and is a predicted model, not a curated record. NCBI's taxonomy places the organism in Eukaryota, Metazoa, Chordata, Mammalia, Primates, Hylobatidae.
GCCAUCAAUUGAAACAGGUUUACUUCCACUGAGAUGUCUUUCAAAGCAGAGUGAUUUUAAAAUAAUGGUUGGUUUUAAACUGCUUAUUUAGGUGUCAUGAGUGCAUUUCAGUGGGAGUUUGUUUUUGUUUUUUUGUUUUUUGUUUUUUAAGACAGAGUCUCGCACUGUCACCCAGGCUGGAGUGCAGGGAUGUGAUCUUGGCUCACUAAAACCUCCACCUCCCAGGUUCAAGCGAUUCUUGUGCCUCAACCUCCCACGUAGCUGGGAUUACAGGCAUGCACCACCACAUUCUGCUAAUUUCUGUAUUUUGGACAGAGUUUUGCCAUGUGGUCCAGGCUGGUCUCAAACUCUGGACCUCAAGUGAUCCUCCUGCCUCGGCCUCCAAAGUUCUGGGAUACAGGUGUGAGCCACUGCGCCCAGCCGGGACUGUUUUUAUAACAUCGUUGCGUUUUAAGAAAAGUUUCAUGGCUUGUGACAAAUAGUAUGUAACUCAGUAAGUUUUGUGAACAAAGCUAUGUGAAAGGAUGAUAAAAUCUUGGGACCCCAGUGCACUCUGCCUAAAGGAAAAACUUAAACUGGAAGCUGAAUCAUGCAAGAAGUGGCCUUUCCUUUUGUUCCUAAGCAGAGGGCUAUGGAUAAAAGCAUCUCCACCGGUAGCUGCUUUCACCACCAUAAAGUGCCAAGGACUGAGAUCAAAGAGAGGACCCUGGCAACUCCCUCUGUGGAGCAGUUACCUGACCCCUGCGGGGACCACUGUCCUGACCCGGGUGCCAGUUGGCACUGCCCAGCUCUGAAUUCCAUGCACGUGGCCCCGGCAGGAGGCACCGGUGCCCUCCUUCCUCCUAGCAUCACGCCAGCAUCACAUCCACAUCACGCCAGCCUCCCGCCAGCAUCACGCCAGCAUCAUGCCAGCCUCACCCUGUUGUGGCUGCACCUGAAGCUUGUUUACUGUUGCUGCCUUGUUGGAUUCUGUCCCGUGAACACACCACGGUUUAUUCAUCCAUUCUGUUGUCAAUCGGCGUCUGGACCGUCUUCAGUUUGGGGCGAUGAAUACACCUGCUGUGAACAUUCAGAUGCUCGUCUUGGGUGAAUUUACAUACACAUUUCUGUUGGGCAUGUGCUAGGGGCUGCAUCGCUGGGUCACUGCCUCCCUGAGUCCCCUGUGUCCAGCUGCAGGACGCCCUCACAUGCACCCCAGCUCCCACUGCUCCACAGUUAGGCUAUGAUUUGGUAGUUCUGCCUUUCUCAUCUUAGCCAUGCUAGUGCAGAACAAAAGUUCCUAAUUUUGGCAUAAAUCAAAUUUAUCUGUGUAAGUUUCUGGAGCCUCUAUUUGUUCCAUUGGUCCAUGUUUGUUUCAAGAGUCCCACUUUGUGUUAUUUACUGUAACUUUAAAUGAAGGCACAAUACUCAAUAGUGAGAGUCCUCCGACUUUGCUCUUCCUCAAGAUUGUAUUAACUGUUAUUGACUCUGCAUGUUUUUAAUUUUUUAUUAUAUUUUAAGUAUAAUAAAAUACUGGAGACCCGGG